Brassica oleracea var. oleracea is the source of this 427-nucleotide long non-coding RNA. RefSeq lists it as uncharacterized. The transcript has 2 exons. NCBI's taxonomy places the organism in Eukaryota, Viridiplantae, Streptophyta, Magnoliopsida, Brassicales, Brassicaceae. The record is from RefSeq and is a predicted model, not a curated record.
AAUCUUCAGGUAAUCUUCCCAAUUCUUCAGUUAAUUCUUUUUAAUCCAAGAUCAAUCGAUAUCCGUAUACCCAACCGUUAUUCCAUCACCACCAAUUCGUUGUAUAACCUAAUCAUCAUUUUUAGCCGUAGCGGAAAAACCUUCACAGGGGCCGUACACAAGUCCACCGCCGAUUGGUUAUCCGACCAGAGAUGCGGUGGUUGGUGAUCCUCGGGUAUCGUCAGUGGAGACGAAGUCCAAGGGUGAUGGGUUUUGGAAAGGAUGCACAGCUGCCAUAUGCUGCUGUUGUGUCCUGGACGCAUGCUUCUGAGACUUCGGAGUUAAAGAUUUUAUGCAGAUUAUUGCUGUAAUAAAAUAUAUUUGAUGAUUUGUUGUGUUACUUAAUUACUCUUUAUAUGUGGAAUAAACUCUGCCGAUGGUUGUUUUA